AUUAAGGUGGCAGAUCAGUGCGUAAGAUUUAAGUUCUUAUUAGGGAAUAUAGGUGAAUAUUCUUCUUAAUA
This 71-nucleotide transfer RNA is filed under the name Sepiella inermis (spineless cuttlefish). RNAcentral's name for it is "tRNA-Leu". The record is from RNAcentral. Lineage: Eukaryota; Metazoa; Mollusca; Cephalopoda; Sepiida; Sepiidae.